RNAcentral lists this transfer RNA (75 nucleotides) under Sphingomonas paucimobilis. RNAcentral describes it as "tRNA-Gln". It matches the Rfam family "tRNA". From Rfam's summary of the family: Transfer RNA (tRNA) molecules are approximately 80 nucleotides in length. RNAcentral also lists the same sequence under 37 other names. Lineage: Bacteria; Pseudomonadati; Pseudomonadota; Alphaproteobacteria; Sphingomonadales; Sphingomonadaceae. The record is from RNAcentral.
UGGGGCGUCGCCAAGCGGUAAGGCACCGGUUUUUGGUACCGGCAUUCGUAGGUUCGAAUCCUGCCGCCCCAGCCA